GUGCUCCCCCGCCAAUUCCUUUAAGUUUCAACCUUGCGGUCGUACUUCCCAAGUGGCCCGCUUCACGGCUUCCCUACGGCACCACGGCAGUUCACGACUGCCGUGACACCUAGCGGGCAUCGUUUACGGCUAGGACUACCCGGGUAUCUAAUCCGGUUCGUGCCCCUAGCUUUCGUCCCUCACCGUCGGACCUGUUCUGGUAGGACGCCUUCGCCACCGGUGGUCCCCAGAGGAUUACAGGAUUUCACUCCUACCCCCUGAGUACCUCCUACCUCUCCCAGUCCCAAGCAAUGUAGUAUCCCGCAGACGCCCAACGGUUAAGCCGCUGGAUUUCCCACAAGACUUGCAAAGCCGGCUACGGACCCUUUAGACUCAAUAAUAUCGGCCACCACUCGAGCCGCCGGUAUUACCGCGGCGGCUGGCACCGGUCUUGCCCGGCCCUUGCUAACAGCCGUUUUUUAGACAGCUGGACAGACACCUAAUGUAGAUGCCACUCGAUGUUCCCCUAUCGCAGUUGCCUGCAUUGUAGAGUUUUCGCGCCUGCUGCGCCCCGUAGGGCCUGGAUUCGUGUCUCAGAAUCCAUCUCCGGGCUCUUGCUCCCACAACCCGUACUGAUAAUCGGCACGCCGGUACUUUACACCGGCGUCAACCUAAUCAGCCGCAGACCCAUCCAAAGGCGCCAGAGCUUUCAAUCAAAAAACCCUUCCAGUACUCUUGACCUAUCCGGUAUUAUUCCCAGUUUCCCGGAGUUAUCCCAGACCUUUGGGUAGGUUGUCCACGUGUUACUGAGCCGU
RNAcentral lists this ribosomal RNA (794 nucleotides) under uncultured Methanosarcinaceae archaeon. RNAcentral describes it as "partial 16S ribosomal RNA". Lineage: Archaea; Methanobacteriati; Methanobacteriota; Methanomicrobia; Methanosarcinales; Methanosarcinaceae. The record is from RNAcentral.